GAACGCCGAGAGACGCGAAUGGCAGCGGCGGAACCACUUGAAAAUGGCGGCCAAGGGGCCGCUCCGGCAGACGUUCGCGCAGAAUCCGUUGGCUCCUCCCGCUGCUCCCGCGCCGCCCGCUGCCCCGAAGCGACCCUGGAGAGAAACGUUGGGAUGAAAGCGAGAACAAUAAAGAAAAAAAUCGCGUCUCUGGA
This is a non-coding RNA of Meleagris gallopavo (turkey), 194 nucleotides long. The record is from RefSeq and is a predicted model, not a curated record. Lineage: Eukaryota; Metazoa; Chordata; Aves; Galliformes; Phasianidae.